Molecule: ribosomal RNA, 497 nt
Filed under: uncultured bacterium
Lineage: Bacteria
Description: partial 16S ribosomal RNA
Rfam family: Bacterial small subunit ribosomal RNA
Source: RNAcentral
GAUGAACGCUGGCGGCGUGCCUAAUACAUGCAAGUCGAGCGAACAGAUGAGGAGCUUGCUCCUCUGACGUUAGCGGCGGACGGGUGAGUAACACGUGGAUAACCUACCUAUAAGACUGGGAUAACUUCGGGAAACCGGAGCUAAUACCGGAUAAUAUAUUGAACCGCAUGGUUCAAUAGUGAAAGACGGUUUUGCUGUCACUUAUAGAUGGAUCCGCGCCGCAUUAGCUAGUUGGUAAGGUAACGGCUUACCAAGGCAACUAUGCGUAGCCGACCUGAGAGGGUGAUCGGCCACACUGGAACUGAGACACGGUCCAGACUCCUACGGGAGGCAGCAGUAGGGAAUCUUCCGCAAUGGGCGAAAGCCUGACGGAGCAACGCCGCGUGAGUGAUGAAGGUCUUCGGAUCGUAAAACUCUGUUAUUAGGGAAGAACAAAUGUGUAAGUAACUAUGCACGUCUUGACGGUACCUAAUCAGAAAGCCACGGCUAACUACGUG